CAGUCGCGUCUGCUGGGACUCAGCCUUGCUUCUGCUUGGUGCACUUCCCAGUAGAUGGGCCAGCAUCAAUUUUGGGCGCCGGGAAAGGAUGAGAGGAAUGUGGCAGCUUGCUGUGUUAUAGCCUUCGGCAGAUGUGAUGAUCGAGAUUGAGGAUUGC
RNAcentral lists this ribosomal RNA (157 nucleotides) under Rhizophagus intraradices. The record is from RNAcentral. Lineage: Eukaryota; Fungi; Glomeromycota; Glomeromycetes; Glomerales; Glomeraceae.